UAGACAGGUGACAGCAUGUAGCUGACUUUGACUGGUCUCAGAAGCUAAGCAGAUUUGGUCCUAGUUAGUAGUUGGCUGGGAAUCCCCUGGGAAUUGUAGGAUUAAAAACUAA
RNAcentral lists this ribosomal RNA (112 nucleotides) under Notechis scutatus (mainland tiger snake). The record is from RNAcentral. Lineage: Eukaryota; Metazoa; Chordata; Lepidosauria; Squamata; Elapidae.